CUUAGCCCUUAACAUAGACAAUACCAACACAAUAUUGUCCGCCAGAGAACUACAAGUGAAAAACUAGAAACUCCAAGGACUUGGCGGUGCCCCACAUCAACCUAGAGGAGCCUGUCCUAUAAUCGAUAAUCCACGCUGUACCUUACCAUUUCUAGCAACUCAGCCUAUAUACCGCCGUCGAAAGCCUACCUUAUGAAAGAAACAAAGUAAGCAAAAUAGUCAACAACUAAAACGUCAGGUCAAGGUGUAGCACAUGAAAUGGAAGAGAUGGGCUACAUUUUCUACCCUAGAAAAUACGAACAGCACAAUGAAACAUGUUCUCAAAGGCGGAUUUAGCAGUAAGACAAAAAAGAAACUUUGCCUUAAACCCGCU
RNAcentral lists this ribosomal RNA (373 nucleotides) under Varzea bistriata (two-striped Mabuya). RNAcentral describes it as "partial 12S ribosomal RNA". It matches the Rfam family "Bacterial small subunit ribosomal RNA", at positions 795 to 1372 of the family's 1533-position model. Lineage: Eukaryota; Metazoa; Chordata; Lepidosauria; Squamata; Scincidae. The record is from RNAcentral.